This 331-nucleotide ribosomal RNA is filed under the name uncultured bacterium. RNAcentral's name for it is "partial 16S ribosomal RNA". It matches the Rfam family "Bacterial small subunit ribosomal RNA", at positions 355 to 698 of the family's 1533-position model. The record is from RNAcentral.
UGGGGAAUAUUGCACAAUGGGCGAAAGCCUGAUGCAGCGACGCCGCGUGCGGGAUGAAGGCCUUCGGGUUGUAAACCGCUUUUAAUUGGGAGCAAGCGAGAGUGAGUGUACCUUUUGAAUAAGCACCGGCUAACUACGUGCCAGCAGCCGCGGUAAUACGUAGGGUGCAAGCGUUAUUCGGAAUUAUUGGGCGUAAAGAGCUCGUAGGCGGUUUGUCACGCCUGGUGUGAAAGUCCAUCGCUUAACGGUGGAUCUGCGCCGGGUACGGGCAGGCUAGAGUGCAGUAGGGGAGAUUGGAAUUCCCGGUGUAACGGUGGAAUGUGUAGAUAUC